GUGUGGUAUAAGUGCAAAUAAGACAACUCUCCAUCUACUUCACAAUGUGUAAAAAGUUAAACAAUUAUAGGUCAAAGUAAGUUUAUACUAAAACUACUUUCAAAUAGUGUCCUCGGAAAUUUCUCUUACGAAGCAGUUUUAUGUACAAAAAUAAAAAAUAGAGAACAUCUAUUAAAGAACAAAACCCAUAUGAUUCACUUUUGUUAAUCCUGAUGAUUGCGUGAUCAAGAUUUUAUAUCGUGUUUUUAAAUUUGAAAAAAGAAAUAAAAUCUGUACACUACAAUCAAGAAACUUUCAAAUGAUCUUCAAAACGAUGUUUUUCUUGUGACGUCAUUUUUUUCGUGACGCCACCACAGGAAAUUACUCGGAACGCAAAAAAAAAAGACGUCAUAAUCGAAUUUUGCUCAAAGAACAGCUGAGAUCAAACGAAACACAUGUUGAUUAAAAAAAUAAUCAGCAGGUCAGGAAAAGGAUAAAUCGGGAAGGAAUUAAAGAAAUUGUCAUAUCAAUAUAUCAAACAACAAAUUGAUUCUGCAAGCAUACUUUUUUGAAGAUUUAUUAGAUGCUUAGUGUGAUAUUUAAACGCCAUUUUCAUCACUAGUGGUUAGUUUAUGGCGUCCAUUUGAUAUUGGUGGACAGAAUUGAAUUGCCCGGUAACAUCUACCAAAAUUUUCAAGAAAAAUAAUUCAAUAAUAAAUAAAACCAAACGCACAUUUCACGUAGAACUGCUUAGACCAAACGGUCAUCUCAAAAUAAAAAUAAAUAAAAAAGACUUCGGCAUUUAUAAAAGGAAUUCUAACGCAC
This 804-nucleotide long non-coding RNA is filed under the name Mytilus galloprovincialis (Mediterranean mussel). The record is from RNAcentral. Lineage: Eukaryota; Metazoa; Mollusca; Bivalvia; Mytilida; Mytilidae.